CACAAAGGAAACCCGCGUGUUUCUUUGAGGUUCCUCAUGAAUAUGAUUAAUAUCGUUUAAUAAUCUAUACUAGAUCUAUUGUUCGAACCAGAAUGACUUUUCAUGUGAAUUUGUAAGCGAUCGCUCACACAUUUUGAUCCCACUUCUAGCUACAUCACUGCGCAGGGAAUCUGCUUGUAGCUGCAUUGUUGGAUUUGGUGGAUGCCACAUGUUUCGUUACUACUGUUAGCUAGCUUGGGAGUUCUUUUUACGUCGCUGGCGGUCGCUGCCCACGGUUCCUACACUGGCAAUAUUGAAUUAACAUAGAGGUCAGACUGGCGAUUAUCUGGUGAUUAAAAAAACACAAGUGGUAAUUGGAUGAGACAAUGUUUUAUGUUGUCACGUGGGAUCCAAGAAUUCCAGCCCCACUGUAUUGG
This is a long non-coding RNA of Oncorhynchus tshawytscha (Chinook salmon), 416 nucleotides long. Lineage: Eukaryota; Metazoa; Chordata; Actinopteri; Salmoniformes; Salmonidae. The record is from Ensembl.